GGAGAAAAGCAGGGGAUCGCAAGACCUUGCGCUAAAGGAGCGGCUGAUGUCUGAUUAGCUAGUUGGUGAGGUAAAGGCUCACCAAGGCAACGAUCAGUAGUUGGUCUGAGAGGACGGCCCGCCACACUGGGACUGAGACACGGCCCAGACUCCUACGGGAGGCAGCAGUGGGGAAUUUUGGACAAUGGGCGAAAGCCUGAUCCAGCCAUGCCGCGUGAGUGAAGAAGGCCUUCGGGUUGUAAAGCUCUUUUAGUCGGAAAGAAAGAGUUGCAAUGAAUAAUUGUGAUUUAUGACGGUACCGACAGAAAAAGCACCGGCUAACUACGUGCCAGCAGCCGCGGUAAUACGUAGGGUGCGAGCGUUAAUCGGAAUUACUGGGCGUAAAGGGUGCGCAGGCGGUCUUGCAAGUCAGAUGUGAAAGCCCCGGGCUUAACCUGGGAAUUGCGUUUGAAACUACAAGGCUAG
This 465-nucleotide ribosomal RNA is filed under the name Nitrosomonas sp. enrichment culture. RNAcentral describes it as "bacterial SSU rRNA". It matches the Rfam family "Bacterial small subunit ribosomal RNA", at positions 198 to 644 of the family's 1533-position model. Lineage: Bacteria; Pseudomonadati; Pseudomonadota; Betaproteobacteria; Nitrosomonadales; Nitrosomonadaceae. The record is from RNAcentral.